This 292-nucleotide ribosomal RNA is filed under the name uncultured bacterium. RNAcentral's name for it is "partial 16S ribosomal RNA". The record is from RNAcentral.
GGACUACACGGGUAUCUAAUCCUGUUCGCUCCCCUAGCUUUCGCACCUGAGCGUCAGUUACCAGCCAGGACACUGCCUUCGCCUUUGGUAUUCCUCCGGAUAUCUACGCAUUUCACCACUCCACCCGGAAUUCUAUGUCCCUCUCUGGUCCUCAAGUUCCGCAGUUUUCGAAGGCCUCACCCGGUUGAGCCGGGUACUGUCACUCCAAACUUACGAAACCGCCUGCGUGCGCUUUACGCCCAAUAAAUCCGGACAACGCUUGCCCCCUACGUAUUACCGCGGCUGCUGGCAC